This 379-nucleotide unclassified non-coding RNA is filed under the name soil metagenome. RNAcentral's name for it is "partial contains 5.8S ribosomal RNA, internal transcribed spacer 2, and large subunit ribosomal RNA". The stretch from base 1 to 120 matches the Rfam family "5.8S ribosomal RNA", at positions 35 to 154 of the family's 154-position model. The record is from RNAcentral.
GAUGAAGAACGCAGCGAAAUGCGAUAAGUAAUGUGAAUUGCAGAAUUCAGUGAAUCAUCGAAUCUUUGAACGCACCUUGCACCCUUUGGCAUUCCGAAGGGUAUGCUCGUUUGAGUGUCAUUGUACUCUCACACUUCCGAUCUUUGGAUUGGGAGCGGUGGACUUGGGUGUUGCUGCUUACUGUGGCUCACCUCAAAUCGAUUCGUGCACCUCUUGGUUGGACAUAGUACGGCGUGAUAAGUGUCUUCGCCGGCACCUCAGUAGAGGGUGGCUGAUCGGGAGCUCUGUGCUUCAAACCGUCCUCGGACAACAACUGACAACUUGACCUCAAAUCGAGUAGGACUACCCGCUGAACUUAAGCAUAUCAAUAAGCGGAGGA